This is a non-coding RNA of Larimichthys crocea (large yellow croaker), 87 nucleotides long. The record is from Rfam. Lineage: Eukaryota; Metazoa; Chordata; Actinopteri; Sciaenidae.
CCUUCGAUAGCUCAGUUGGUAGAGCGGAGGACUGUAGUGGUUGUGCCAGGCAUCCUUAGGUCGCUGGUUCAAAUCCGGCUCGAAGGA